This 120-nucleotide ribosomal RNA is filed under the name Engraulis mordax (northern anchovy). Lineage: Eukaryota; Metazoa; Chordata; Actinopteri; Clupeiformes; Engraulidae. The record is from RNAcentral.
GCUUACGGCCAUACCAGCCUGUACGCCCGAUCUCGUCCGAUCUCGGAAGCUAAGCAGCCUCGGGCCUGGUUAGUACUUGGAUGGGAGACCGCCUGGGAAUACCAGGUGCUGUAAGCAUUU